Molecule: ribosomal RNA, 566 nt
Filed under: Shigella sp.
Lineage: Bacteria; Pseudomonadati; Pseudomonadota; Gammaproteobacteria; Enterobacterales; Enterobacteriaceae
Description: bacterial SSU rRNA
Rfam family: Bacterial small subunit ribosomal RNA
Source: RNAcentral
UGGAGGGGGAUAACUACUGGAAACGGUAGCUAAUACCGCAUAACGUCGCAAGACCAAAGAGGGGGACCUUCGGGCCUCUUCCCAUCGGAUGUGCCCAGAUGGGAUUAGCUAGUAGGUGGGGUAACGGCUCACCUAGGCGACGAUCCCUAGCUGGUCUGAGAGGAUGACCAGCCACACUGGAACUGAGACACGGUCCAGACUCCUACGGGAGGCAGCAGUGGGGAAUAUUGCACAAUGGGCGCAAGCCUGAUGCAGCCAUGCCGCGUGUAUGAAGAAGGCCUUCGGGUUGUAAAGUACUUUCAGCGGGGAGGAAGGGAGUAAAGUUAAUACCUUUGCUCAUUGACGUUACCCGCAGAAGAAGCACCGGCUAACUCCGUGCCAGCAGCCGCGGUAAUACGGAGGGUGCAAGCGUUAAUCGGAAUUACUGGGCGUAAAGCGCACGCAGGCGGUUUGUUAAGUCAGAUGUGAAAUCCCCGGGCUCAACCUGGGAACUGCAUCUGAUACUGGCAAGCUUGAGUCUCGUAGAGGGGGGUAGAAUUCCAGGUGUAGCGGUGAAAUGCGUAGAG